UAAGGAAUAUUGCGCAAUGGGCGAAAGCCUGACGCAGCGACGCCGCGUGGGGGAUGAAGGUCUUCGGAUUGUAAACCCCUUUCGGGAGGGAAGAUGGAAUGGGGUAACCCAUUCGGACGGUACCUCCAGAAGCAGCCACGGCUAACUUCGUGCCAGCAGCCGCGGUAAUACGAAGGUGGCAAGCGUUAUUCGGAUUUACUGGGCGUACAGGGAGCGUAGGCGGUUCGGUAAGCCCUUUGUGAAAUCUCCAGGCUUAACCUGGAACAGUCGGAGGGGACUGCCGGGCUAGAGGACGGGAGAGGAGCGCGGAAUUCCCGGUGUAGCGGUGAAAUGCGUAGAGAUCGGGAGGAAGGCCGGUGGCGAAGGCGGCGCUCUGGAACGUUUCUGACGCUGAGGCUCGAAAGCGUGGGGAGCAAACAGGAUUAGAUACCCUCGUAGUCCCUGAGCGGGCUGGCAAGGCGCAU
Molecule: ribosomal RNA, 464 nt
Filed under: uncultured bacterium
Lineage: Bacteria
Description: bacterial SSU rRNA
Rfam family: Bacterial small subunit ribosomal RNA
Source: RNAcentral